GGGAAUGUAGCUUAGUGGUAGAGUGCUUGUCUAGCAUGCAUGAAGCCCUGGGUUCAAUUCCUCAGUACCG
This 70-nucleotide transfer RNA is filed under the name Dipodomys ordii (Ord's kangaroo rat). It matches the Rfam family "tRNA". Rfam says of the family: Transfer RNA (tRNA) molecules are approximately 80 nucleotides in length. Their secondary structure includes four short double-helical elements and three loops (D, anti-codon, and T loops). Lineage: Eukaryota; Metazoa; Chordata; Mammalia; Rodentia; Heteromyidae. The record is from Rfam by way of RNAcentral.